This 456-nucleotide ribosomal RNA is filed under the name uncultured Streptococcus sp. Its description in RNAcentral is "bacterial SSU rRNA". It matches the Rfam family "Bacterial small subunit ribosomal RNA", at positions 924 to 1382 of the family's 1533-position model. Lineage: Bacteria; Bacillati; Bacillota; Bacilli; Lactobacillales; Streptococcaceae. The record is from RNAcentral.
CACAAGCGGUGGAGCAUGUGGUUAAUUCGAAGCAACGCGAAGAACCUUACCAGGUCUUGACAUCCCGAUGCUAUUUCUUAGAGAUAGAAAGUUACUUCGGUACAUCGGUGACAGGUGGUGCAUGGUUGUCGUCAGCUCGUGUCGUGAGAUGUUGGGUUAAGUCCCGCAACGAGCGCAACCCCUAUUGUUAGUUGCCAUCAUUCAGUUGGGCACUCUAGCGAGACUGCCGGUAAUAAACCGGAGGAAGUGGGGAUGACGUCAAAUCAUCAUGCCCCUUAUGACCUGGGCUACACACGUGCUACAAUGGUUGGUACAACGAGUUGCGAGUCGGUGACGGCGAGCUAAUCUCUUAAAGCCAAUCUCAGUUCGGAUUGUAGGCUGCAACUCGCCUACAUGAAGUCGGAAUCGCUAGUAAUCGCGGAUCAGCACGCCGCGGUGAAUACGUUCCCGGGCCUU